RNAcentral lists this microRNA precursor (97 nucleotides) under Nicotiana sylvestris (wood tobacco). RNAcentral's name for it is "MIR6152 microRNA precursor family". It matches the Rfam family "MIR6152 microRNA precursor family". Lineage: Eukaryota; Viridiplantae; Streptophyta; Magnoliopsida; Solanales; Solanaceae. The record is from Rfam by way of RNAcentral.
UGAACAGAUUAUUGUAUUCGACUGUAUUCGACUGCGUAAAACAGGGGAUUAUACUAUUUUUAAAUGGAAAGUGAAUCAAUUAACAUAAUAAACUCCU